Molecule: ribosomal RNA, 503 nt
Filed under: uncultured bacterium
Lineage: Bacteria
Description: partial 16S ribosomal RNA
Rfam family: Bacterial small subunit ribosomal RNA
Source: RNAcentral
GACGAACGCUGGCGGCGUGCUUAACACAUGCAAGUCGAACGGUGAAGCGCUUUCCUUUUUGGUUGGUGUGGAUGAGUGGCGAACGGGUGAGUAACACGUGAGUAACCUGCCCCCUUCUUCUGGAUAACCGCAUGAAAGUGUGGCUAAUACGGGAUAUUCUGCGCCUGCUGCAUGGUGGGUGUGGGAAAGAUUGUGCCUUUGGGUGUUUUCGGUGGGGGAUGGGCUCGCGGCCUAUCAGCUUGUUGGUGGGGUGAUGGCCUACCAAGGCGGUGACGGGUAGCCGGCCUGAGAGGGUGGACGGUCACACUGGGACUGAGACACGGCCCAGACUCCUACGGGAGGCAGCAGUGGGGAAGAUUGCACAAUGGGCGCAAGCCUGAUGCAGCGACGCCGCGUGAGGGAUGGAGGCCUUCGGGUUGUGAACCUCUUUCGCCAGUGAAGCAGGCCUGCUCCUUGUGGGUGGGUUGACGGUAGCUGGAGAAGAAGCGCCGGCUAACUACGUG